UGCUGAUACAAAAUCAUUCAACUUAGAGGUUCACAAUGAUGAGAGGGGUUAUACAACUAAGGUCAGGGAUCAAACUGAAUCCUCUCUGCCUGAAGUUGUUAUUGGGAGAGAGGGUGACAAAAAGGCAAUUAUAGAAUCUCUGUUGGCUUCCAACAGUGAAGAGAAUGUUUCAGUUCUCUCAAUUGUUGGAAUUGGGGGAUUAGGGAAGACUACACUUGCUCAAUUCAUAUUCAAUGAUGAGCAAGUUAGUAAACA
This 255-nucleotide unclassified non-coding RNA is filed under the name Hevea brasiliensis (rubber tree). Lineage: Eukaryota; Viridiplantae; Streptophyta; Magnoliopsida; Malpighiales; Euphorbiaceae. The record is from RNAcentral.